This 435-nucleotide ribosomal RNA is filed under the name uncultured bacterium. RNAcentral's name for it is "partial 16S ribosomal RNA". It matches the Rfam family "Bacterial small subunit ribosomal RNA", at positions 29 to 507 of the family's 1533-position model. The record is from RNAcentral.
AACGAACGCUGGCGGCAUGCCUAACACAUGCAAGUCGAACGAUUGCCUUCGGGUGAUAGUGGCGCACGGGUGCGUAACGCGUGGGAAUCUGCCCUUAGGUUCGGAAUAACAGCUGGAAACGGCUGCUAAUACCGGAUGAUAUCGCGAGAUCAAAGAUUUAUCGCCUGAGGAUGAGCCCGCGUUGGAUUAGGUAGUUGGUGGGGUAAAGGCCUACCAAGCCGACGAUCCAUAGCUGGUCUGAGAGGAUGAUCAGCCACACUGGGACUGAGACACGGCCCAGACUCCUACGGGAGGGAGCAGUGGGGAAUAUUGGACAAUGGGCGCAAGCCUGAUACAGCAAUGCCGCGUGAGUGAUGAAGGCGCUAGGGUUGUAAAGCUCUUUUACCCGGGAAGAUAAUGACGGUACCGGGAGAAUAAGCCCCGGCUAACUCCGUG